This is a non-coding RNA of Aedes albopictus (Asian tiger mosquito), 72 nucleotides long. The record is from Rfam. Lineage: Eukaryota; Metazoa; Arthropoda; Insecta; Diptera; Culicidae.
GGCUCGGUAGCUUAGUUGGAAAAGCACUUUUAUAGCGAAUAAAGGUCGUGGGUUCACUUCUCACUUGAUCUG